AGCCUUUAGAGUCCGUGUAGAGAUUUCGUCAGAUACUAACCCAUUAGGACUGAUCGGGCUUCCAAGAUCAGUGAAGCU
Molecule: microRNA precursor, 78 nt
Filed under: Schistosoma mansoni
Lineage: Eukaryota; Metazoa; Platyhelminthes; Trematoda; Strigeidida; Schistosomatidae
Description: mir-3492 microRNA precursor family
Rfam family: mir-3492 microRNA precursor family
Source: Rfam by way of RNAcentral